AGCUCCGUAGUGAAGUUCACGGUGAGUUGCAAGCUCAUUAAUGUACAUUAAGCAUGUGCCGGAGUUU
RNAcentral lists this transfer RNA (67 nucleotides) under Phaethornis malaris. Its description in RNAcentral is "tRNA-Cys". The record is from RNAcentral. Lineage: Eukaryota; Metazoa; Chordata; Aves; Apodiformes; Trochilidae.